GGGGAGUGGCUCAGUGGUAGAGAACUUGCCUGGCAUGUAUGAAGCUCUGGGUUCAACCCCCAGUACCACCA
RNAcentral lists this transfer RNA (71 nucleotides) under Ictidomys tridecemlineatus (thirteen-lined ground squirrel). RNAcentral's name for it is "Spermophilus tridecemlineatus (thirteen-lined ground squirrel) tRNA". It matches the Rfam family "tRNA". From Rfam's summary of the family: Transfer RNA (tRNA) molecules are approximately 80 nucleotides in length. Lineage: Eukaryota; Metazoa; Chordata; Mammalia; Rodentia; Sciuridae. The record is from Rfam by way of RNAcentral.